This 495-nucleotide ribosomal RNA is filed under the name uncultured bacterium. RNAcentral describes it as "partial 16S ribosomal RNA". It matches the Rfam family "Bacterial small subunit ribosomal RNA", at positions 29 to 507 of the family's 1533-position model. The record is from RNAcentral.
AUGAACGCUGGCGGCGUGCCUCAUACAUGCAAGUCGAGCGAACGGACGAGAAGCUUGCUUCUCUGAUGUUAGCGGCGGACGGGUGAGUAACACGUGGAUAACCUACCUAUAAGACUGGGAUAACUUCGGGAAACCGGAGCUAAUACCGGAUAAUAUUUUGAACCGCAUGGUUCAAAAGUGAAAGACGGUCUUGCUGUCACUUAUAGAUGGAUCCGCGCUGCAUUAGCUAGUUGGUAAGGUAACGGCUUACCAAGGCAACGAUGCAUAGCCGACCUGAGAGGGUGAUCGGCCACACUGGACCUGAGACACGGUCCAGACUCCUACGGGAGGCAGCAGUAGGGAAUCUUCCGCAAUGGGCGAAAGCCUGACGGAGCAACGCCGCGUGAGUGAUGAAGGUCUUCGGAUCGUAAAACGCUGUUAUUAGGGAAGAACAUAUGUGUAAGUAACUGUGCACAUCUGACGGUACCUAAUCAGAAAGCCACGGCUAACUACGUG